GGCGGCGUAGCCAAGCGGUAAGGCAAUGGUUUGCAAAACCAUCACCUCCGGUUCGAUUCCGGACGCCGCCUCCA
RNAcentral lists this transfer RNA (74 nucleotides) under Planctomycetota bacterium. RNAcentral's name for it is "tRNA-Cys". It matches the Rfam family "tRNA". From Rfam's summary of the family: Transfer RNA (tRNA) molecules are approximately 80 nucleotides in length. Their secondary structure includes four short double-helical elements and three loops (D, anti-codon, and T loops). Lineage: Bacteria; Pseudomonadati; Planctomycetota. The record is from RNAcentral.